CCAAGGAGUCUAACAUGUGCGCGAGUCAUGGGGUCUUACGAAACCCAAAAGGCACAAUGAAAGUGAAGGCAGCCUCGGGUUUGCCUAGGUGGGAUCCCCGUCACUCUGGCGGGGCGCACCACCGGCCCGUCUCGACCGCAUCGUCGGUGAGGCGGAGCAAGAGCGUACACGUUGGGACCCGAAAGAUGGUGAACUAUUCCUGAGUAGGACGAAGCCAGAGGAAACUCUGGUGGAGGUCCGUAGCGAUUCUGACGUGCAAAUCGAUCGUCAAACUUGGGUAUAGGGGCGAAAGACUAAUCNAACCAUCUA
This 309-nucleotide ribosomal RNA is filed under the name Anomia ephippium. Its description in RNAcentral is "eukaryotic LSU rRNA". It matches the Rfam family "Eukaryotic large subunit ribosomal RNA", at positions 666 to 946 of the family's 3401-position model. The record is from RNAcentral. Lineage: Eukaryota; Metazoa; Mollusca; Bivalvia; Pectinida; Anomiidae.